AUAGACUCUUAAUUAAGCUAGCGAUAUCUGGCCUGCAUCUCACUGUACCACAUCCGUGUCUGUGGUGGAAGGUGGCUGAGCUACAGGGUUUGGUAGAUGGGAUGCAGUUUAUGUCAGAAUUGACUUUUCGUAGCAGGUGUGUUUGUCAGACCAUGAUGUGACGUAUUUUCUCGGGAAAAUGUCUGCAGAGUCUAAACAGUUUUGUUUUGAUCUACCACACCCACAACACUGUCUGAAGGUAACCCAGCACUGACUGUCUGAAGGUAACCCAGUACUGGCUGUCUGAAGGUAACCCAGUACUGACUGUCUGAAGGUAACCCAGUACUGGCUGUCUGAAGGUAACCCAGUACUGACUGUCUGAAGGUAACCCAGUACUGACUGUCUGAAGGUAACCCAGUACAGGCUGUCUGAAGGUGACCCAGUACAGGCUGUCUGAAGGUAACCCAGUACAGGCUGUCUGAAGGUAACCCAGUACUGACUGUCUGAAGGUAACCCAGUACUGACUGUCUGAAGGUGACCCAGUACUGACUGUCUGAAGGUAACCCAGUACUGACUGUCUGAAGGUAACCCAGUACUGGCUGUCUGAAGGUAACCCAGUACAGACUGUCUGAAGGUGACCCAGUACAGGCUGUCUGAAGGUAACCCAGUACAGGCUGUCUGAAGGUAACCCAGUACAGGCUGUCUGAAGGUAACCCAGUACAGGCUGUCUGAAGGUGACCCAGUACAGGCUGUCUGAAGGUGACCCAGUACAGACUGUCUGAAGGUAACCCAGUACUGACUGUCUGAAGGUGACCCAGUACUGACUGUCUGAAGGUAACCCAGUACUGACUGUCUGAAGGUAACCCAGUACUGGCUGUCUGAAGGUAACCCAGUACAGACUGUCUGAAGGUGACCCAGUACAGGCUGUCUGAAGGUAACCCAGUACAGGCUGUCUGAAGGUAACCCAGUACUGACUGUCUGAAGGUAACCCAGUACUGACUGUCUGAAGGUAACCCAGUAAUGACUGUCUGAAGGUAACCCAGAACUGACUGUCUGAAGGUAACCCAGUACUGGCUGUCUGAAGGUAACCCAGUACUGGCUGUCUGAAGGUAACCCAGUACUGGCUGUCUGAAGGUAACCCAGUACUGGCUGUCUGAAGGUAACCCAGUACUGGCUGUCUGAAGGUAACUCAGUACUGGCUGUCUGAAGGUAACUCAGUACUGGCUGUCUGAAGGUAACCCAGUACUGGCUGUCUGAAGGUAACCCAGUACUGGCUGUCUGAAGGUGACCCAGUACUGGCUGUCUGAAGGUGACCCAGUACUGACUGUCUGAAGAUGACCCAGUACUGGCUGUCUGAAGGUGACCCAGUACUGACUGUCUGAAGGUGACCCAGUACUGACUGUCUGAAGGUGACCCAGUACUGACUGUCUGAAGGUGACCCAGUACUGACUGUCUGAAGGUAACCCAGUACUGGGCCGGAAAAUGAAUGGAAGUGAAUAGGUCAUUUCCACAUCAAAGGGUCAUUCCACUGUAAAACAAUUAUAAAUAAAUCCUGAGCUUUCUUACAGCGCUCAGAUAUAAGACAGACACCUCGAAACAUACUUUAAAAAAAAAAUGAAAUGUUGUUGACUAGCUGUUUGACCAUGUUUAGACACAUCUCAGAAUGUCCUCUCCUUUCGGGUGUCGUUAAAAAGGUCCUUGUUCGUUUGUUGAAUUUUCUCAGUCGAAUGAAAAAGCAUUUAGAAAUGUAUUCUAAACUCAGUGUAUUUUUUAAUUAUUGAUUACUAAUAAACAGUAUUUAGCGAUAAGAAA
Molecule: long non-coding RNA, 1791 nt
Filed under: Salmo salar (Atlantic salmon)
Lineage: Eukaryota; Metazoa; Chordata; Actinopteri; Salmoniformes; Salmonidae
Description: lncRNA (ENSSSAG00000097827.1)
Source: RNAcentral